GACGAACGCUGGCGGCGUGCUUAACACGUGCAAGUCGAACGGAAAGGCCCUGCUUUUGUGGGGUGCUCGAGUGGCGAACGGGUGAGUAACACGUGAGUAACCUGCCCUUGACUUUGGGAUAACUUCAGGAAACUGGGGCUAAUACCGGAUAGGAGCUCCUGCUGCAUGGUGGGGGUUGGAAAGUUUCGGCGGUUGGGGAUGGACUCGCGGCUUAUCAGCUUGUUGGUGGGGUAGUGGCUUACCAAGGCUUUGACGGGUAGCCGGCCUGAGAGGGUGACCGGCCACAUUGGGACUGCGAUACGGCCCAGACUCCUACGGGAGGCAGCAGUGGGGAAUAUUGCACAAUGGGCGGAAGCCUGAUGCAGCAACGCCGCGUGCGGGAUGACGGCCUUCGGGUUGUAAACCGCUUUCGCCUGUGACGAAGCGUGAGUGACGGUAAUGGGUAAAGAAGCACCGGCUAACUACGUG
Molecule: ribosomal RNA, 468 nt
Filed under: uncultured bacterium
Lineage: Bacteria
Description: partial 16S ribosomal RNA
Rfam family: Bacterial small subunit ribosomal RNA
Source: RNAcentral